This 1786-nucleotide long non-coding RNA is filed under the name Paramuricea clavata. Lineage: Eukaryota; Metazoa; Cnidaria; Anthozoa; Malacalcyonacea; Plexauridae. The record is from RNAcentral.
GUCGCGUAUUUUUUCCGAAAAGCGAUCAAAGCUUAGCGGCCAGGCCUUCGCGAAAAAAUAAUGCGCUGCCAUCUUGGUUUUAAAAGUUUCCCAAAAUUUGCGAAGAUAAAUAACAGAAUUUUACUGAAUUUUUGUCUAUGUUACGAGCCAAAACAUUGCCAAAUAUAAAGACAGAUGACAUGGUAAGUGUAAUGUCGUAUUUAAUAACUGUUAUUUGAAUUAUUAUUAUAUAAAAUGUGCACAUGUAUCUGACUCAGGAGUGAGCACUGAGCAUUCAAACCCGCCAUCUAUAAUAAUAUUAAUAUAAAACUGAUUGAAAGCGACUGCUUUCGUCCUUUGAAUGAUGGCCUGCCUGUUCACAACUCAAUAUAUGUACAUGCAAAAUUGUAAAGCACUCUGUUUGAAUUUUCAAGGAAGAAUUUGUCAAUUUGAGUAUUUGUAAACAGUUUUUUCGCCUCUGGUACUUUUGCAUAUUUCCAUAUUAAAGACAUUUCACUGCAAGUGCACAUAGUCCAUGUAUCUGUAAUUUUAAACUUCAUACUGUUUUGUACACAUGCAGCUGUUGCAGUGUUUCAGGUAUACCAUGCUAGUCACUACAAGUUCCCUUUCUGAUAUAAAGAGUCGUGAUGUACUGGUACCGUAAACCUCCAACUUACGACUAUAGCCCCCCCCCAUGUACAAGCCCACCACAUGUACUAAAGCUCACCUCAUUCCAAAUAUAAGCCCCCCCCCCCGGAAUAUUAGUCCCCCGAAUUGAUAUAUUAAUACAUUUUUAAUUUCCUGUUUAUGACUGACUUGUUUAUGUUUGACUUGUUUAUUACUAACACUAACACAAAAGAUCAUUGGGUAUAAGCCCCCCUUGUAUAAGCCCAUCAAAAAUCGCUUAUGAAAGUAUAUAAGCCAGGUUUUAUAGUCGGAGGUUUACGGUAUAUGUAUACAGUAUAUUAAAGUAAUUGGAAACCAAAAUUUCAUGGGAUAUAAGUAACAAUUGCAAGUGGAAUUAAUAGUUGAAACAACCUACUUUCCCUCAUGCAUAUAACUUGAUGUGGUAUGAGGGUCGCUAAGCCCGGGCUGGUCUAACCUGAGAUUGGGCUGUAUUAUACGGAUAAUAACCUGACACAAAUCUUAAUCCAAUCACUUUCCACCCACAACAAAGUUUAUAUUUAGUAUCCAAUCAAAAUGUCACAGGAGAAAUUAAAAUUUCGCACAACGACAACAACAAUCUGAUUAUAGUUGUGAUCACUAUAAAAUAUAUCAACAACAACAGUAUAAUCUAAUUAACACCAACCAAUCAAAUGACAGAUUGAAAAAUCUUUUGUCUCGUAGACCAACCAGAUUUACAACUGAAAUACGGUUGUAAGGCAUGUACUUUUGUUUAGGUUUGUUUCAGGCCUAUUUAUUUAUUUAUAGGCCUGAUGGCAGGUUAGGGCCUGACCAACAACUGAGGUAGGAUGCAUCAUCACUAUGGACCCCAGACAGGCAUGUCAAUUUUUGGAAUCAAAGUUGUCUAUAAAGACCCAAUACUUUAUUUCACAAAGAACCACCUCCCCCAAUACCCCCAAGUAAAUCCAUCCCACUGCUACAUAAAAGAAUACUUCUUUCCCUCUAAGUUAACAAUGAAAGUAUAUUUUUUACAGAUCUCUGCGAUAUUACUUUUACAACCUUGAAGAUAUGAUUAUGAUGACAGAUGUUGGUACAUUGCAGAGUAUUUUGUACAUCCUAUAAACUUUUUGUAAUAUCCACACAAUUGAUAAAUUUGUAUCAUAAUUAAAUUUGUAUCAUAAUC